AACGCUAGCUACAGGCUUAACACAUGCAAGUCGAGGGGCAGCACAAGGCAGCAAUGCUGUGGUGGCGACCGGCGCACGGGUGCGUAACGCGUAUCCAACCUUCCCGUUACUCAUGGAUAGCCUUCCGAAAGGGAGAUUAAUACAUGAUGGUGUUGAAAUUCCGCAUGUUAUUUCAACUAAAGAUUUAUCGGUAACGGAUGGGGAUGCGUGACAUUAGAUAGUAGGCGGGGUAACGGCCCACCUAGUCUACGAUGUCUAGGGGUUCUGAGAGGAAGGUCCCCCACACUGGAACUGAGACACGGUCCAGACUCCUACGGGAGGCAGCAGUGAGGAAUAUUGGUCAAUGGCCGGAAGGCUGAACCAGCCAAGUAGCGUGAAGGAUGAAGGUUCUAUGGAUUGUAAACUUCUUUUAUGAGGGAAUAAAACCUCCCACGUGUGGGAGCUUGUAUGUACCUUAUGAAUAAGCAUCGGCUAACUCCGUGCCAGCAGCCGCGGUAAUACGGAGGAUGCGAGCGUUAUCCGGAUUUAUUGGGUUUAAAGGGAGCGUAGACGGGAGAUUAAGUCAGCUGUGAAAGUUUGAGGCCCAACCUUAAAAUUGCAGUUGAUACUGGUUUCCUUGAGUGCGGUUGAGGUGUAUGGAAUUCGUGGUGUAGCGGUGAAAUGCUUAGAUAUCACGAAGAACUCCGAUUG
Molecule: ribosomal RNA, 690 nt
Filed under: uncultured bacterium
Lineage: Bacteria
Description: bacterial SSU rRNA
Rfam family: Bacterial small subunit ribosomal RNA
Source: RNAcentral